AUGAACGCUGGCGGCGUGCCUAAUACAUGCAAGUCGAGCGAACAGACGAGGAGCUUGCUCCUCUGACGUUAGCGGCGGACGGGUGAGUAACACGUGGAUAACCUACCUAUAAGACUGGGAUAAGUUCGGGAAACCGGAGCUAAUACCGGAUAAUAUAUUGAACCGCAUGGUUCAAUAGUGAAAGACGGUUUUGCUGUCACUUAUAGAUGGAUCCGCGCCGCAUUAGCUAGUUGGUAAGGUAACGGCUUACCAAGGCAACGAUGCGUAGCCGACCUGAGAGGGUGAUCGGCCACACUGGAACUGAGACACGGUCCAGACUCCUACGGGAGGCAGCAGUAGGGAAUCUUCCGCAAUGGGCGAAAGCCUGACGGAGCAACGCCGCGUGAGUGAUGAAGGUCUUCGGAUCGUAAAACUCUGUUAUUAGGGAAGAACAAAUGUGUAAGUAACUAUGCACGUCUUGACGGUACCUAAUCAGAAAGCCACGGCUAACUACGUG
Molecule: ribosomal RNA, 496 nt
Filed under: uncultured bacterium
Lineage: Bacteria
Description: partial 16S ribosomal RNA
Rfam family: Bacterial small subunit ribosomal RNA
Source: RNAcentral